UUUAUUCUUGACAUCGAGCACCACCACACCAACCAACGACAAACAACACCGAUUAGUCACUAUCGUGCAACACCAUUGUCGCUCGUUUAUUCUCCCUACUGUCGUUCAACUCUCUAUUUCUCCACCAAAACAAUCGCACCUCCGUACCCCACGACAACACUACCUCCUCAUCGCCAAACACCUUCGUUAAAUACCUAAAACUCACUCACG
Molecule: long non-coding RNA, 210 nt
Filed under: Gossypium raimondii (Peruvian cotton)
Lineage: Eukaryota; Viridiplantae; Streptophyta; Magnoliopsida; Malvales; Malvaceae
Description: long non-coding RNA (GRAI_LNC009020)
Source: RNAcentral